RNAcentral lists this long non-coding RNA (4493 nucleotides) under Homo sapiens (human). Its description in RNAcentral is "non-protein coding FRG1-DT:20". Lineage: Eukaryota; Metazoa; Chordata; Mammalia; Primates; Hominidae. The record is from RNAcentral.
GCGCUGUGGAACCGCCUCCUGCUAGAGCAGCGGGCUGGCGACGGUCCUCGCCGGGGCGGGAAGCGGCUCAGGCUGCCCUCGCUGGCCUGCGGCGGCGCGGCUGGAAGCGCGGGCCACUCGUGCGUGGGUCACUCAGGACUGCGCCUCGCGCGACUGUGUGUGCAGGAAACAAGCAGGAAAUACCCUAAAAGAGAAUGAAGCGCCAUGUUGAGGGUCGCGGACGUCGCGAGUGCUGUGGGAAUGUGGGCUGAGGUGGAGAGUUAUGGUAGCCCGUGUUACAGGCUCAGGGGUCUGAAAGAAGCCUAAUCGUGGAGGCGGCAUCUGAGGAGGGUCUUGAAGGCUGGGCAGGCAUUUGCCCGACAGAGAUGGAGGAAGCUAGUCCUGUCUGAUGGAGGAAACAGGGCGGAGGCGUGGAGGGAGCCGUGCAGCGCUGGUGUGAGGAGCAGCGAGCAGGCCAGGCCUGUAAAGCAGAGUGAGGGAACCAGGAUAGAGAAGGCAAGUCGGGGUCCUGUGGUCGCUGAAGAAUUUGAAUGAAAUCAGUAAACAGGUGAGAGGGAUCCAUCGCAAGAGCAUGGGAUGAAAGGAGGAGUAGUCCACGGUGAUUCCUCUGCAGCGGUGGGUGUUAUUAAUCGCGUAUGUGACACCAAAACCACCCCACUCAAGCUGUGGCUCUUUCCCUAAAGUAGAAAACCGAGACCAGUUGGGUUCCAAGCAUCCACGAAGAUCUUAUUAAAUUCGUGAUCCCUGGUGGCACCAUGGAGUCAGGAUUGGCUCAUCUCAAACCUGACUCAGAAACAAAACCGUCACAAUGUGCAGAGAUGAGCGUCCUUACCGCUAUCAACGUAUUUUCUGGUGUUUUCACAGUGCUGCGCUUCCUAAUCCCCAUUCCAUGGCAAUCCACAUGCCAUGAUGCCCGGAGUCAUUAACAAAGGAGACACACAGGGGCUCCUCACGUUGGCUUUCCAGGGUUUUGAUGAAAAUCUGUUUCCUCGUCUCAUACAAUGUGGUUAGUAAUAGUAUCAUUUAGGGUUGAAGAAUUAAAUGGUACGAGUUAUAUAGGGUGCUUAUUAUAACCUACAUGGAAAAUGCCUAGGAUAUGUUAGCUAUGCUCAUCACCAACAUCGUUAUAUGAUGGUAAUAAUCAGAUAGUCAGGAAGCCUGACACCAAGAAAAUGGAUACAUGCUCUGAAGGAAUGAAUGUGGAGAGAUCAGAAGGUCAAGAACAAAGUCGUACAAUAUGUCUACAGUAAAGGGAUAGAGAAAAGAAAGGCUAUAAAAGAAGGAAUGAAACAGAGUUAAAUUAUAGAAAUCAAAGCUAAGGAGAAUUUCCAGAAAGGGUAGUAUCAUUUAAUAUCAUAGAAGUUUAGGAGCCCAAGAUGGAAAAAAGGCCUCUGGGUAACUGACAUUGAGGCAGUCUUUGGGGAAGCUCCAUUUCCGAUAGAGAAGUAGACUGAAAGUCAGCUUGAAGCAGGGACUAGGUGAAGAAGCUGUUGGCUGGUCGCAUGGGGAAAUAAAUAAGGGAUGGCAUAUGCCGUAUUUCUGGAUUUCUUUCUUUCUUGCCCAGCCUCUAUAUAUGCACAGAGUUUGGCGAAAACUUACAAAAAAUAAAAAUGAAACCAAUUUCGUUUGUAGACCCAAAUACAAUGCUUUCUGUUAGAAUCAAGAUAAAUUCAUGCCUCUCCCUUCUAUUCAAACCGUCAGUUUUGAAAUUAAACAUCAGCUUUUCUUCUUCAUUAAAAUCAUUUUCAGCUCUUCCCAUUGAUGGUUUGGGGGAGUUGCAUAAGCAGUCAGGUCUUGAUGAGUAGAGGAGGAGGGAACAAACACUUUCAGCAAAGGCAGAAUUCUGAAAUUCUGCUCAUAUUUUUUUCCAGUAACUUUCCUAUGUUUGUGAGGUUAUUCAGUCAUAAAGAUCCUAGUGAAAUGUUUUUCAAGCUUUACUAAUCAUAAUCACUGUGGACAUUUGUUUAAAAUGUGUAUUCCCAGGCCUCUCACCUGGUGAUUCUGAUUCAGGAGAUCAUGGAUGGGACUCAGCAUACAUGUGUUUGACAAGUAUCACAAGUGGUUCUUAUGGUCAGGCAAAUUUGGGAAACUAACCAGGAAUUUAUGUUUUUAUGACUGGCAGCUAGAAAAGAUUCCUAGAGUCUUUGCUUUUUGAAAAUAAAAUAUUUCUUUUUUAAAAGGAAAAUUGUAUGACUAGAUACAGCAUUUAUACAUGUGAUAAAUGUACUAUACUGUGUGCUUUUGUCAUAUUUACAGUUAAAGAUGUGUAAGAACACUCUGAGAAAAAUUGUAUAUUAAAUGAAAAGAGGGGUAAGUCAGGGUGGGGGAGAAAUGAGAAGGGUGUGCUUAUUGUUGCUAAAAGUUAGAAAAGCCAGAAUGAUAGCAUCUAAGGUUGCAAAUAGCACACUGUAAGUUGAGGGAGCUUCACAAUCAUGUCUGAAGCCUUCUUUGAUAUGCUGAGUUGUAAACAGUGGCUUUGGACAAGAUUUGAGGGAGAAACCAACUAUGCUUUAAAGUGUUCAUUUAAAAGUCUUUAAUUAAAGGAAAGUCUUUGCAUUUACUUGAGCUAAUUUAACUUCAGGACUUUAAGAAAUUACUAGCCCUUAACCUCUUAAAAAUUGUCUUUCAUUUCAAAUGAAAGUUUAAGGUGGCCUUUAUGUUCGAUUGGUAUACUUGUGCGAAGACUUAACAGCAAGGUACUGUACAAUUCUAAAUGUUUACUUCUUAAUUUUGCUGGAAGAAAUAUACUACUCAAUUGAUUAUUUUUAAAGCAAAGUAAAACAAUUUAUUUUGACAAGUGACACUGUAUUUUCCUAGUUUUUUGGUGGCAAAGAUUAGUCUUAACAUCACUAAUCAUCAGAGAAAUGCAAAUCAAAACCAAAACGAGAUACCAUCCUACACCAGUCAGAAUAGCUACUAUUCAAAAAUUGAAAAACAACAGAUCUUGGGAGGCUGUGGAGAAAGGGGAACAUUUACACAUAAUUGGUGCAAAUGUAAAUUAGUUCAGCCACUGUUCAAAGCGGUUUGGAAAUUUCUCAAAGCAUUUAAAAUAGAAUUACCAUUCAAGCCAACAAUUCCAUUACUGGUAUAUAACCCAAAGAGAAUCAGUUAUUCUACCAAAAAGACAUAUGCACUUGCAUGUUCAUCGCAGCACUAUUCACAAUAGCAAAGACAUGGAGUCAGCCUAGGUGCCCAUCGACAGUGGAUUGGAUCAAUAAAAUGUGGUACAUCUACACAGUAUGAUUAGGCCAUUCUUGCAUUGCUAUGAAGAAAUACCUGAGGCUGGGUAAUUUAUAAGGAAAAGAGAUUUAAUUGGCUCACAUCUCUGCAGGCUGUACAGGAAGCAUGGUGAUGGCAUCUGCAUGGCGCCUGUGGAGGCCCCAGGGAGCUUUUACUCAUGAUGGAAGGCACAGAGGGAGUAGGCACAUCACAUGGUCCGAGGAGGAGCAAGAGAAAAUGGGAGUGGGGCAUGCCUCGGGCGGUUCAGCUCUGUUGACACUCAUGGUGCUGCUUGUGGGCUGAUGCAGGAGUCUACUGUGAAGGGACUCAGUAUGGUGGAAAAAAAUAUUCAACUUCUGCUCACUUUAUUCAGUGUAAGAACUGUAAGGAGGACUUUCUGCAUAUAAUACCAUUAUGGCCUGGGGGAGGAGUAUCACAGUCACAGAGUACUGGUUCCCUUACUGUCCAAGCAUGGUUCUACUCUUUGCAGUCCAAAGGGGCUUCAUAGACUGACUCAUGUAUUCAGGGUUCGUUAGCUCUUGUAAAGGUAAUUUUAUAUGUGGAUAGUUGUUCAUAUAGAUGUGUCCGUAGGGGUAAGAUUACUGGAGAGAUCGACUCCACUACCUUGCUCUGCCCAAAUCCUUCCCCUUUCCAACAAGAGUUUGCCACCUCCUAGUUUUCUUUUUUCUUAACCAAACUAAGUUUAGCCUUUUAAUCCUUAACUCUCCUCCACUUCUAAUGCCAUUGCUUCUUUGUAUGCUUAUUGUAUUUUCCAUGCUAUAUGACUUUCAGCUGGUUAUUUACAGUAUGUAAGUUUUAAUAUCCUGUAAAAGGGGGAUAAUAAUAGCAUCCAUUUGAUAGGGAUGUUAAAGAUAUUAAAUGACACUGUCCAUGUUAAAUAACUUUUUAAGAUAUAUUGAGAUGUUUCUGUACUUCCUUGUUCUGGCCUUCUUGUUGAACCAGAGAAAUCUAUUGCCAUGAAAAGCAAUAAAAUUGUGAUAGUAGAAAUUAAAAGUGAGUAGGAACUUAUUUAAAAAUCAUCAUUCUCCUUUUCAAUGCAAAAAUAAGAACUAGAAACUUUUAAUAAGGCAAUAGUCUGAAGAAAUAACUUAUGGAAGAGAACAUGGGUUUUUUAAUCCUAAAGGGUUCUUUUAUAUAUUCAAGGGUCGAGAUUGCCUGCCUUGUAUCCUACUAAAAUUUCAAUGCAAGUUUCAGAGAGGGAGGAAAGAGUCAAAGAAAAAAUUGCACUGGAAAAAGUUAAAUAAGUAAGGAAG